This 253-nucleotide ribosomal RNA is filed under the name uncultured bacterium. Its description in RNAcentral is "partial 16S ribosomal RNA". It matches the Rfam family "Bacterial small subunit ribosomal RNA", at positions 524 to 776 of the family's 1533-position model. The record is from RNAcentral.
GACGUAGGGUGCAAGCGUUGUCCGGAAUCAUUGGGCGUAAAGCGCGCGUAGGUGGCCUCGUAAGUCCGCUGUGAAAGUCAAAGGCUCAACCUUUGAAAGCCGGUGGAUACUGUGGGGCUAGAGUACGGAAGAGGCGAGUGGAAUUCCUGGUGUAGCGGUGGAAUGCGCAGAUAUCAGGAGGAACACCAAUAGCGAAGGCAGCUCGCUGGGACGUUACUGACACUGAGGCGCGAAAGCGUGGGGAGCGAACAGG